UUGUGUAAACAAUUACAUGUUUUUACGAAGUAACGAAUUUUAAUUUUUGGCUAUAAAAAUAUGGACCAUUCGAAACGAAGGUCUAGCCAGUGAUUUAUAUGAAGUUUUGUGUUGGAAAACUCAAUUUUAUUCAAUUGAAUACCUACCAGUGAAGCGACUUACGACAAUUUCCUGGAUUUGUCUCAAGAUCACUCGAAAAGAGUUGAGAAUCUUCAGAAGUUGAUUGAGGCCCAAUUUUACAAAUGAAGUUUGAACCUAAAACGAUUUUCUCAAGUUUUAUGGAUGGCGUUUACUAAGAAACUUUAAACGUCACCAGCGCUCUAAGGUGCUGAAAUACCAUCUCGAGCAGCCGUGCUUCGCUAAUUUUCCGAAUCAUUGUCCCAAUCAUUGUCGCUCUUCGCUACAGGAUAAAUUUCGUGAAGGUUGUCCAAAAUCGGCUGUUGUUCCAGAAAAAAUCGACGAAGUGCUAUAACUGAUACUCCACUCGCAUACGUUCAAUAUUGCAAGAUGAGCCAAAUCCAACAAAAGUUGUUCGCUCACGAAGCACUGGACAUGUCGCUACUGUUCCAUUAGGUCAACGUAGAAAGAUCAAUUCUAAAUGAUACACCAGCAUUUGAUUGUCAGAAGUCAUCAAAAAAAUCAAGGAAACCAAUCGCACGAGACGAAUGAUUCUCCGCCAUGAAAAUGCAAGCUCUCACACAUUAGUUCAAAAAAAAACGUUUUUGAACAGUCAAAACAUUGAAUUGAUGGGUGAUCCGCUGUUUGGCAUCCAAUGAUUUCUUCUUAUUCCGGUAGAUCAAAAAUAGAAUAUUCCUGAAGAAGUGGUUGAUGCGUUCAAGUCACAUAUUUUGGAGGUACCUCAAUAGGAAUGGAAAAAAAUGCUUCGACAAUUGAUUCCAAUGCAUGCGAAACUGUAUUGAUCUCAGAAGAGAAUAUUUUUAAAAACAAUAA
Molecule: long non-coding RNA, 951 nt
Organism: Diorhabda carinulata
Lineage: Eukaryota; Metazoa; Arthropoda; Insecta; Coleoptera; Chrysomelidae
Exons: 3
Source: RefSeq, a predicted model, not a curated record